Non-coding RNA from Salvelinus sp. IW2-2015, 785 nucleotides. The record is from RefSeq and is a predicted model, not a curated record. Lineage: Eukaryota; Metazoa; Chordata; Actinopteri; Salmoniformes; Salmonidae.
UGAAAAAAAGGGGCGGAUCCUUAAGAGGUGAAAAUAUUUGUUAUAUGUUUUCAAUGCUGGAUAAACAGAAAACAAGUUGAUUUUAAAAUUAGAGAAAUAACAAACAAAAAUGUUAUUUGUCUCAAUUCCAGCCUUACCUGAAGCUCAUCUACAACCCCUCAGCUACAGUGUGUAUACAUUUAUGAUUUAACAUGAUCAAAAUAUCACAAUGUUCACAGAAAACAUUUUGUGAGCGUUUUUAUAAUUACAUUUACAAAUGUUUAAAUGUUUAUCUGUUCUUUACCCUGCAGACAAAAAUCUCAUUUGAAUAUGGGAUAACAGCACUUCUCCCAUCAUUCAUGAAGGCUGAGGAGACAGAGACUCGGGAGGAGGAAGGAAAAUAAUAUGGCGGAUACAAGGUGUAUGGAAGGGAGAAGAAGCCCAAGGCUUGCAUCUGGAUUGGAAUCGUUGAUUGGAUUGAGAUGACACAUUUACAUAUCUUUCUGGAGUACAUUAAACUUUAAAGAUGAACUAUGGAUUUUUAGUUGCUAACAUUUUUCCUAAAUACCAAUCAAUUUCUUAACUCAUGAAACCACACAAGCCUUAGUUUUAUCCUAACUAACAAUAUAUGAUUUUACUCAUGGGUAUGGGUAUGCAGUGAGGUCAUUUCAGGAUGAUAUUUCUGUCUAUUCAGGGGACCCCUUUUGGCUCAAGAGCACACCAGUGGCAAGUUAUGUGUAACCUCUCUAGAUCCUCUUUAUAUCUAUACAGUACAUGGCAGGUGUUGAUGGAGGUUACUUCUGUGA